Molecule: transfer RNA, 83 nt
Filed under: Candidatus Methanoperedens sp.
Lineage: Archaea; Methanobacteriati; Methanobacteriota; Methanomicrobia; Methanosarcinales; Candidatus Methanoperedentaceae
Also listed under: 1 other name
Description: tRNA-Leu
Rfam family: tRNA
About the family: Transfer RNA (tRNA) molecules are approximately 80 nucleotides in length. Their secondary structure includes four short double-helical elements and three loops (D, anti-codon, and T loops).
Source: RNAcentral
GCGGAGGUAGCCAAGCGGUCAAAGGCAGCAGCCUCAAGAGCUGCUCUCGCAGGAGUUCGAGGGUUCAAGUCCCUUCCUCCGCA